UACGGAGGGUGCAAGCGUUAAUCGGAAUUACUGGGCGUAAAGCGCGCGUAGGCGGCUUGUUAAGUCGGAUGUGAAAUCCCCGGGCUCAACCUGGGAACUGCAUUCGAUACUGGCUGGCUAGAGUGUGGUAGAGGGAAGUGGAAUUCCAGGUGUAGCGGUGAAAUGCGUAGAUAUCUGGGGGAACAUCAGUGGCGAAGGCGGCUUCCUGGACCAACACUGACGCUGAGGCGCGAAAGCGUGGGGAGCAAACAGG
Molecule: ribosomal RNA, 253 nt
Filed under: uncultured bacterium
Lineage: Bacteria
Also listed under: 3 other names
Description: partial 16S ribosomal RNA
Rfam family: Bacterial small subunit ribosomal RNA
Source: RNAcentral